This 1729-nucleotide long non-coding RNA is filed under the name Prunus dulcis (almond). RNAcentral's name for it is "sRNA ncRNA". Lineage: Eukaryota; Viridiplantae; Streptophyta; Magnoliopsida; Rosales; Rosaceae. The record is from RNAcentral.
GGUACAACCGAGAAAAUAAAAAACAAUAGGAGAGAGAGAAGAGAACCCUAAUCUCAUUCGUUUUACAAAGACCAUACAGAGACCGAGAGAGACAGAGCCAGAAGACGAAGAUGUCGACUCCGCAGCAAGAAGAGGACAAGAAGCCCAACGAUCAAGCUGCCCACAUCAACCUCAAAGUGAAAGGCCAGGUCCUUAUUUCUUAUCUGAACUUCACCCAUCUGUGUUCUUUGGUUGUUUUUUCUUUUUAUUUUUUUUUAUUUUUUUUUUCCUUUUGUUGAUUGUAAUUUUGGCCUCUCAUGAGUUCUUCAAGUUUUUGUUUUUAAGAAUUAUUUGAAGUUAAUAUGUUGCAUGUUCUUUUGGCCUUUUAGGGGUUUUUUUUGCAAAAUGCCUGCUUAUGUUUUUCUUUCCUUUUUUUUAUUCAUAAAGACUAUCAGUUUAAUUUUAAUAUGAUUCAGAUUGUAUGAUUUCUGAGAAAGCUGACCGCGGGAAAGAAAAUGCAUAAGAGGGUUGUUGUUUUUCAAUUCCCACAGCCUAGUUUUUGUUUGGCUUAAGGUAUUUAGAUUGAUAUAAUGAUUAGGCUGUGUUUGGUUGCUGUUUUAUGCUUAUAUCCGUGGUCUAUAAUCUCUUGUAAUUCCGGCUGUACUUCAUUUACCCUUUUAUUAUUUUGUAAUACUAUUGUUUUUAUUCUUGCCCAUUAUGAUGAUUUUGCUUCCUAAGUAAUUGAAUUGUGUGUGUUCUUAUCUCCUUGAAGUAUGUUUGUCAUUGUUCUGUAUUGUCUUUUGUCAUGAUAAUAAGAUAGUGGGUGAUUUGUUUGUUGAGUUGCAUUUAGUUCCAUUUAUUUAUGUCUCCAUCCCAUAACUUUACCGUCUCGUGUUCAUUUAAUUCCAUUUUUGCAAUAGAGUUUGAGAUUUUCUUGUUGGUAAUUCCAAAAGUAUUGAAUCAUAAUCUACGAAUUUGUCUGUGAGUGUUAUGCUCUGAAGAUAGAGAUUAUUGUCGUGAAAACUUCGGUGAGCAGAUGAAUGAUGAUUUUGUAUUUCAUUUGCAGGAUGGGAAUGAAGUGUUUUUCAGGAUCAAACGAAGCACUCAACUGAAGAAGCUUAUGAACGCAUAUUGUGAUCGCCAGUCUGUGGAGCUGAAUUCAAUUGCCUUCUUGUUUGAUGGUCGCCGUCUACGAGCAGAGCAGACGCCUGAUGAGGUCCCUCUCUCUUCUAUCACAUUUACAUAAUUUACAUGUGUCUCCUCAUACACACACGGCCAUUCACUUGGAACCACAAGUGUACACAGUCACUCAUGUUUUCUGCAGGAUGAUGAAUUGUUUGUAUUGUUUCCUUGUUUCAGCUGGAAAUGGAGGAUGGUGAUGAGAUUGAUGCAAUGCUUCAUCAAACUGGAGGAGCCGUACAGAUUUGAUACUAUAUGCUCUUAUUGGAAGGAAGCUGUUGUUAUGAUGAAGACCACUGUGUUCUAUGGAUCUAGGGUAUCAAGCAUUAGGUUUUUUAGUUUUGUACAAGACCUUUUGUAGUAGUAUUUUGAUUAAGUAAAUUGAUGUGGAACUUGGCAUCUGAGUAUGGUUUUCCUUUUAAUUUCAUAGUCUUGUGUGGCAAGGCUGUAUUUUAAUCCAAUUAGAAUUUGAUGUAUAAUUUCUACUCAUAUAGUGUUUCCAUUGUCAUCCCUUUCGCUCUCCUGUUUUUUCAUUCAUCGUAAAAAAUUUGACUGCUUAAACGAUUACCAG